GAAGCUGACCAGACAGUCGCCGCUUCGUCGUCGUCCUCCUUCGGGGGGAGACGGGCGGAGGGGAGGAAAGUCCGGGCUCCAUAGGGCAAGGUGCCAGGUAACGCCUGGGGGGUGUCACAGCCCACGACCAGUGCAACAGAGAGCAAACCGCCGAUGGCCCGCGCAAGCGGGAUCAGGUAAGGGUGAAAGGGUGCGGUAAGAGCGCACGUACGGCCCGUACUGAACCCGGGUAGGCUGCUUGAGCCAGUGAGCGAUUGCUGGCCUAGAUGAAUGACUGUCCACGACAGAACCCGGCUUAUCGGUCAGUUUCACCU
This 314-nucleotide RNase P RNA is filed under the name Klebsiella pneumoniae. RNAcentral's name for it is "RNase P RNA component class A". It matches the Rfam family "Bacterial RNase P class A". From Rfam's summary of the family: Ribonuclease P (RNase P) is a ubiquitous endoribonuclease, found in archaea, bacteria and eukarya as well as chloroplasts and mitochondria. The record is from RNAcentral. Lineage: Bacteria; Pseudomonadati; Pseudomonadota; Gammaproteobacteria; Enterobacterales; Enterobacteriaceae.